This 188-nucleotide unclassified non-coding RNA is filed under the name uncultured Cantharellales. RNAcentral's name for it is "sequence contains ITS1". Lineage: Eukaryota; Fungi; Basidiomycota; Agaricomycetes; Cantharellales. The record is from RNAcentral.
UUGAAGAUGCAGUUUAGGCUGCACAAGAUUUAUUUCUUGACCCAAGGUGUUAUUACCUGGAAAGCUCAUGGUGCCAACUUGUGAGCGAUAUAUCCUCAGAAGUGGGGAAAAAAAGUGUUUUUACACGUAUGAUAUGAUUGAGGGUUGGCACUCAAUCUAUCUCUAAACCAUUUUUAAUGGCUUAUUUA